CUCGUCACACUAUCAUUAACUGAAUCCAUAGGUUAAUGAGGCGAACCGGGGGAACUGAAACAUCUAAGUACCCCGAGGAAAAGAAAUCAACCGAGAUUCCCCCAGUAGCGGCGAGCGAACGGGGAGGAGCCCAGAGCCUGAAUCAGCAUGUGUGUUAGUGGAAGCGUCUGGAAAGGCGCGCGAUACAGGGUGACAGCCCCGUACACAAAAGCGCAUGUGCUGUGAGCUCGAUGAGUAGGGCGGGACACGUGGUAUCCUGUCUGAAUAUGGGGGGACCAUCCUCCAAGGCUAAAUACUCCUGACUGACCGAUAGUGAACCAGUACCGUGAGGGAAAGGCGAAAAGAACCCCGGCGAGGGGAGUGAAAAAGAACCUGAAACCGUGUACGUACAAGCAGUGGGAGCCCCACCACCAAAGCAUUCUCUGGUGUUGAAGGCCCUGCAAAGCAGCAUCGCGGUGGCGGAGCGUCGUUUGCGACGCCCAACACACAAAACAAGCGGUGAGUGCUUUGGGGUGGGGUGACUGCGUACCUUUUGUAUAAUGGGUCAGCGACUUAUAUUCUGUAGCAAGGUUAACCGAAUAGGGGAGCCGGAGGGAAACCGAGUCUUAAU
RNAcentral lists this ribosomal RNA (610 nucleotides) under Salmonella enterica subsp. enterica serovar Virchow. RNAcentral describes it as "partial 23S ribosomal RNA". It matches the Rfam family "Bacterial large subunit ribosomal RNA", at positions 139 to 688 of the family's 2925-position model. Lineage: Bacteria; Pseudomonadati; Pseudomonadota; Gammaproteobacteria; Enterobacterales; Enterobacteriaceae. The record is from RNAcentral.